RNAcentral lists this ribosomal RNA (160 nucleotides) under Hygrophorus pudorinus. RNAcentral's name for it is "5.8S ribosomal RNA". It matches the Rfam family "5.8S ribosomal RNA". Rfam says of the family: 5.8S ribosomal RNA (5.8S rRNA) is a component of the large subunit of the eukaryotic ribosome. It is transcribed by RNA polymerase I as part of the 45S precursor that also contains 18S and 28S rRNA. Functionally, it is thought that 5.8S rRNA may be involved in ribosome translocation. Lineage: Eukaryota; Fungi; Basidiomycota; Agaricomycetes; Agaricales; Hygrophoraceae. The record is from RNAcentral.
UAAUACAACUUUCAACAACGGAUCUCUUGGCUCUCGCAUCGAUGAAGAACGCAGCGAAAUGCGAUAAGUAAUGUGAAUUGCAGAAUUCAGUGAAUCAUCGAAUCUUUGAACGCACCUUGCGCUCCUUGGUAUUCCGAGGAGCAUGCCUGUUUGAGUGUCA